UACGAAGGGGGCUAGCGUUGUUCGGAAUUACUGGGCGUAAAGAGCUCGUAGGCGGUUUGGUAAGUUGGAUGUGAAAUCUCCAGGCUCAACUUGGAGGGGUCAUUCGAUACUGCCAUGACUAGAGUUCGGUAGGGGAGUGUGGAAUUCCUGGUGGAGCGGUGAAAUGCGCAGAUAUCAGGAGGAACACCCGUAGCGAAGGCGGCACUCUGGGCCGGAACUGACGCUGAGACGCGAAAGCGUGGGGAGCGAACAGG
RNAcentral lists this ribosomal RNA (254 nucleotides) under uncultured bacterium. RNAcentral's name for it is "partial 16S ribosomal RNA". It matches the Rfam family "Bacterial small subunit ribosomal RNA", at positions 524 to 776 of the family's 1533-position model. The record is from RNAcentral.